Molecule: small RNA, 1101 nt
Filed under: Pongo abelii (Sumatran orangutan)
Lineage: Eukaryota; Metazoa; Chordata; Mammalia; Primates; Hominidae
Description: processed transcript
Source: RNAcentral
AGGGGACUCGAGGCAUCCCUUGUGGACAGCUGUCAGGACCUGCCAAGCACUGCACCUGGUGAUCCCCUUCAGGUUUGAGCCAGUCCAUGGGGAGGAGCCGUCCACCAGGCAGGCUAUGCCCACUGGAAGGGCCAAGUGCUGAAUUCAGAUGAGCUCCAGGAGUUGUAUGAAGGCCUGAGGCUGAACAACAUGAAUAAAUAUGACUACGUGCUCACAGGUUAUACGAGGGACAAGUCGUUCCUGGCCAUGGUGGUGGACAUUGUACAGGAGCUGAAGCAGCAGAACCCCAGGCUGGUGUACGUGUGUGAUCCAGUCUUGGGUGACAAGUGGGAUGGCGAAGGCUCGAUGUACGUCCCGGAGGACCUCCUUCCCGUCUACAAAGAAAAAGUGGUGCCGCUUGCAGACAUUAUCACGCCCAACCAGUUUGAGGCCGAGUUACUGACUGGCCAGAAGAUCCACAGCCAGGAGGAAGCCUUGCGGGUGAUGGACAUGCUGCACUCUAUGGGCCCCGACACCGUGGUCAUCACCAGCUCCAACCUGCCCUCCCCGCAGGGCAGCGACUACCUGAUCGUGCUGGGGAGCCAGAGGAGGAGGAAUCCCGCUGGCUCCGUGGUGAUGGAACGUAUCCGGAUGGACAUUCGCAAGGUGGAUGCCGUCUUUGUGGGCACUGGGGACCUGUUUGCUGCCAUGCUCCUGGCGUGGACACACAAGCACCCCAAUAACCUCAAGGUGGCCUGUGAGAAGACCGUGUCUACCUUGCACCAUGUUCUGCAGAGGACCAUCCAGUGUGCAAAAGCCCAGGCCGGGGAAGGAGUGAGGCCCAGCCCCAUGCAGCUGGAGCUGCGGAUGGUGCAGAGCAAAAGGGACAUCGAGGACCCAGAGAUCGUCGUCCAGGCCACGGUGCUGUGAGGGCCGCGCCGCUCGCCCGUGACACGCAGCGCGUUGGUGUCUCCGUGUUUGUCCCUGUGAAAACAUGUAACGUCUGCCUUAGAGCCAUGACCGAAACUUGAUAUUUUUUUCUUUCAUGAGUGUCCGGCAUCUGCUGGUCUUCAUUGUGAAAUGUGCCAGUCGUGCUUUGUGAAAAAUAACAAAGCGGUCACA